RNAcentral lists this ribosomal RNA (468 nucleotides) under uncultured bacterium. Its description in RNAcentral is "partial 16S ribosomal RNA". It matches the Rfam family "Bacterial small subunit ribosomal RNA", at positions 28 to 507 of the family's 1533-position model. The record is from RNAcentral.
GACGAACGCUGGCGGCGUGCUUAACACAUGCAAGUCGAACGGAAAGGCCCUGCUUUUGUGGGGUGCUCGAGUGGCGAACGGGUGAGUAACACGUGAGUAAACUGCCCUUGACUUUGGGAUAACUUCAGGAAACUGGGGCUCAUACCGGAUAGGAGCUCCUGCUGCAUGGUGGGGGUUGGAAAGUUUCGGCGGUUGGGGAUGGACUCGCGGCUUAUCAGCUUGUUGGUGGGGUAGUGGCUUACCAAGGCUUUGACGGGUAGCCGGCCUGAGAGGGUGACCGGGCACAUGGGGACUGAGAUACGGCCCAGACGCCUACGUGAGGCAGCAGUGGGGAAUAUUGCACAAUGAGCGGAAGCCUGAUGCAGCAACGCCGCGUGCGGGAUGACGGCCUUCGGGUUGUAAACCGCUUUCGCCUGUGACGAAGCGUGAGUGACGGUAAUGGGUAAAGAAGCACCGGCUAACUACGUG